RNAcentral lists this ribosomal RNA (253 nucleotides) under uncultured bacterium. RNAcentral's name for it is "partial 16S ribosomal RNA". It matches the Rfam family "Bacterial small subunit ribosomal RNA", at positions 524 to 776 of the family's 1533-position model. The record is from RNAcentral.
UACAGAGGGGGCAAGCGUUGUUCGGAAUUACUGGGCGUAAAGGGCGCGUAGGCGGCCUUCUAAGUCGAACGUGAAAUCCCCGGGCUCAACCCGGGAACUGCGUCCGAUACUGGAAGGCUUGAAUCCGGGAGAGGGAUGUGGAAUUCCAGGUGUAGCGGUGAAAUGCGUAGAUAUCUGGAGGAACACCGGUGGCGAAGGCGACAUCCUGGACCGGUAUUGACGCUGAGACGCGAAAGCCAGGGGAGCAAACGGG